UUGACCCGGCGAUGUCCGAAUGGGGAAACCCAGUGUGUUCCGACACACUAUCGUUAACUGAAUACAUAGGUUAACGAGGCGAACCGGGGGAACUGAAACAUCUAAGUACCCCGAGGAAAAGAAAUCAACCGAGAUUCCCCCAGUAGCGGCGAGCGAACGGGGAGCAGCCCGGAGUCUGAAUCAGCUUGUGUGUUAGUGGAACGGUCUGGAAAGUCCGACGGUACAGGGUGAUAGUCCCGUACACGAAAAUGCACAGGUUGUGAACUCGAAGAGUAGGGCGGGACACGUGGUAUCCUGUCUGAAUAUGGGGGGACCAUCCUCCAAGGCUAAAUACUCCUGACUGACCGAUAGUGAACCAGUACCGUGAGGGAAAGGCGAAAAGAACCCCGGCGAGGGGAGUGAAAAAGAACCUGAAACCGUGUACGUACAAGCAGUGGGAGCACCUUCGGGUGUGACUGCGUACCUUUUGUAUAAUGGGUCAGCGACUUAUAUUCUGUAGCAAGGUUAACCGUAUAGGGGAGCCGAAGGGAAACCGAGUCUUAACUGGGCGUUAAGUUGCAGGGUAUAGACCCGAAACCCGGUGAUCUAGCCAUGGGCAGGUUGAAGGUUGGGUAACACUAACUGGAGGACCGAACCGACUAAUGUUGAAAAAUUAGCGGAUGACCUGUGGCUGGGGGUGAAAGGCCAAUCAAACCGGGAGAUAGCUGGUUCUCCCCGAAAGCUAUUUAGGUAGCGCCUCGUGAACUCAUCUUCGGGGGUAGAGCACUGUUUCGGCUAGGGGGCCAUCCCGGCUUACCAACCCGAUGCAAACUACGAAUACCGAAGAAUGUUAUCACGGGAGACACACGGCGGGUGCUAACGUCCGUCGUGAAGAGGGAAACAACCCAGACCGCCAGCUAAGGUCCCAAAGUCAUGGUUAAGUGGGAAACGAUGUGGGAAGGCACAGACAGCCAGGAUGUUGGCUUAGAAGCAGCCAUCAUUUAAAGAAAGCGUAAUAGCUCACUGGUCGAGUCGGCCUGCGCGGAAGAUGUAACGGGGCUAAACCAUGCACCGAAGCUGCGGCAGCGACGCUUAUGCGUUGUUGGGUAGGGGAGCGUUCUGUAAGCCGUUGAAGGUGUGCUGUGAGGCAUGCUGGAGGUAUCAGAAGUGCGAAUGCUGACAUAAGUAACGAUAAAGCGGGUGAAAAGCCCGCUCGCCGGAAGACCAAGGGUUCCUGUCCAACGUUAAUCGGGGCAGGGUGAGUCGACCCCUAAGGCGAGGCCGAAAGGCGUAGUCGAUGGGAAACAGGUUAAUAUUCCUGUACUUGGUGUUACUGCGAAGGGGGGACGGAGAAGGCUAUGUCAGCCGGGCGACGGUUGUCCCGGUUUAAGCAUGUAGGCGGAGGUUCCAGGUAAAUCCGGUACCUUAUUAACGCUGAGGUGUGAUGACGAGGCACUACGGUGCUGAAGUGAUAAAUGCCCUGCUUCCAGGAAAAGCCUCUAAGCAUCAGGUAACACGAAAUCGUACCCCAAACCGACACAGGUGGUCAGGUAGAGAAUACCAAGGCGCUUGAGAGAACUCGGGUGAAGGAACUAGGCAAAAUGGUGCCGUAACUUCGGGAGAAGGCACGCUGAUAUGUAGGUGAAGCCCCUGCGGGCGGAGCUGAAAUCAGUCGAAGAUACCAGCUGGCUGCAACUGUUUAUUAAAAACACAGCACUGUGCAAACACGAAAGUGGACGUAUACGGUGUGACGCCUGCCCGGUGCCGGAAGGUUAAUUGAUGGGGUUAGCGGCAACGCGAAGCUCUUGAUCGAAGCCCCGGUAAACGGCGGCCGUAACUAUAACGGUCCUAAGGUAGCGAAAUUCCUUGUCGGGUAAGUUCCGACCUGCACGAAUGGCGUAAUGAUGGCCAGGCUGUCUCCACCCGAGACUCAGUGAAAUUGAACUCGCUGUGAAGAUGCAGUGUACCCGCGGCAAGACGGAAAGACCCCGUGAACCUUUACUAUAGCUUGACACUGAACACUGGUCCUUGAUGUGUAGGAUAGGUGGGAGGCUUUGAAGCGUGGACGCCAGUCUGCGUGGAGCCGCCCUUGAAAUACCACCCUUUAAUGGCUGGUGUUCUAACGUAGACCCGUGAUCCGGGUUGCGGACAGUGUCUGGUGGGUAGUUUGACUGGGGCGGUCUCCUCCCAAAGAGUAACGGAGGAGCACGAAGGUUGGCUAAUCCUGGUCGGACAUCAGGAGGUUAGUGCAAUGGCAUAAGCCAGCUUGACUGCGAGCGUGACGGCGCGAGCAGGUGCGAAAGCAGGUCAUAGUGAUCCGGUGGUUCUGAAUGGAAGGGCCAUCGCUCAACGGAUAAAAGGUACUCCGGGGAUAACAGGCUGAUACCGCCCAAGAGUUCAUAUCGACGGCGGUGUUUGGCACCUCGAUGUCGGCUCAUCACAUCCUGGGGCUGAAGUAGGUCCCAAGGGUAUGGCUGUUCGCCAUUUAAAGUGGUACGCGAGCUGGGUUUAGAACGUCGUGAGACAGUUCGGUCCCUAUCUGCCGUGGGCGCUGGAGAAUUGAGGGGGGCUGCUCCUAGUACGAGAGGACCGGAGUGGACGCAUCACUGGUGUUCGGGUUGUCAUGCCAAUGGCACUGCCCGGUAGCUAAAUGCGGAAGAGAUAAGUGCUGAAAGCAUCUAAGCACGAAACUUGCCCCGAGAUGAGUUCUCCCUGAGACCUUGAGUCUCCUGAAGGAACGUUGAAGACGACGACGUUGAUAGGUCGGGUGUGUAAGCGCAGCGAUGCGUUGAGCUAACCGAUACUAAUGAACCGUGAGGCUUAACCUU
RNAcentral lists this ribosomal RNA (2807 nucleotides) under Enterobacter hormaechei. Its description in RNAcentral is "partial 23S ribosomal RNA". It matches the Rfam family "Bacterial large subunit ribosomal RNA". The record is from RNAcentral. Lineage: Bacteria; Pseudomonadati; Pseudomonadota; Gammaproteobacteria; Enterobacterales; Enterobacteriaceae. RNAcentral also lists the same sequence under 1 other name.